AAGAAGAAGAGGAGGGUGAUGAUGAAGGGAACCAGAAGGCUCUGAGUUGGUCAGAUACCAAGAAGAUGCCAAUGACUUCAAGGGUUAUUCAGGAGACACUUAGAGUUGCUUCCAUCUUAUCUUUUACUUUCAGGGAAGCUGUGGAAGAUGUUGAAUAUGAAGGUCAGUUAAAAAAAUUGAAGUAAAUGAUGUAGUUUUUACUUGAAAGUUAAAAUCUGUUCUAGCCUAAUUAAAAUUGAAACUUAUUUUUCAGGUUAUCUUAUACCAAAAGGGUGGAAAGUUUUACCACUUUUCAGAAACAUUCACCACAGCCCAGAAAUCUUUCCUGAACCUGAGAAGUUUGAUCCCUCAAGAUUUGAGGUGAAUAUAGUUUGAUACUAUAUGCAUAUAAUUUCAUAUAUCUGUGUUCUGUUCCUCUAAAACUGCAAAAAAAACUUUCUUAUAACGAGAAUAGUAUUGUUUUGUACUUUUCAGCCAAUAAUACAAGAAUGCGUGAAAAAGUUAUUUCGCGUAUCAUUGCGUUAUUUGUCAAAAAUAACAAAAAGU
Molecule: long non-coding RNA, 546 nt
Filed under: Prunus persica (peach)
Lineage: Eukaryota; Viridiplantae; Streptophyta; Magnoliopsida; Rosales; Rosaceae
Description: long non-coding RNA (PPER_LNC005041)
Source: RNAcentral